Manduca sexta (tobacco hornworm) is the source of this 269-nucleotide long non-coding RNA. RefSeq lists it as uncharacterized. The record is from RefSeq and is a predicted model, not a curated record. Lineage: Eukaryota; Metazoa; Arthropoda; Insecta; Lepidoptera; Sphingidae. The transcript has 2 exons.
CGAAAAUCGAUGUUAUUAUGAUAUAAAUGCUCUGAUUAAUUAACACAAUAUGCACUUGUUUGCAAACAUGCGGACACACAUCGCUUUACUUGCUCUAAGCAUCUCCGCUGUAGUAGCGGUACCAGCUAACCCACAAAGGAUCGUAGGCGGGAGUGUUACAUCCAUCGCGCAGUAUCCGAGCAUUGUCGCGUUAUUAUUCAGUUCCAAUUUAAGCACGUGGCGACAAAUCUGUGGAGGCACUAUUAUUAACAAUCGCAACAUUGUGACUG